Molecule: transfer RNA, 89 nt
Filed under: Danaea sellowiana
Lineage: Eukaryota; Viridiplantae; Streptophyta; Polypodiopsida; Marattiales; Marattiaceae
Description: tRNA-Ser
Rfam family: tRNA
About the family: Transfer RNA (tRNA) molecules are approximately 80 nucleotides in length. Their secondary structure includes four short double-helical elements and three loops (D, anti-codon, and T loops). Further hydrogen bonds mediate the characteristic L-shaped molecular structure. tRNAs have two regions of fundamental functional importance: the anti-codon, which is responsible for specific mRNA codon recognition, and the 3' end, to which the tRNAs corresponding amino acid is attached (by aminoacyl-tRNA synthetases). tRNAs cope with the degeneracy of the genetic code in two manners: having more than one tRNA (with a specific anti-codon) for a particular amino acid; and 'wobble' base-pairing, i.e. permitting non-standard base-pairing at the 3rd anti-codon position.
Source: RNAcentral
GGAGAGAUGGUCGAGUGGUCUAUGGCUCCAGUCUUGAAAACUGGCAUGGUGUUUCAAUACCAUCGAGGGUUCGAAUCCCUCUCUCUCCU